AGUAAUGCUUGGGAAUCUAGCUUAUGGAGGGGGGUAACUAUGGGAAACUGUAGCUAAUACCGCGUAGAAUCGGGAGAUGAAAGUGUGGGACCUUCGGGCCACAUGCCAUAGGAUGAGCCCAAGUGGGAUUAGGUAGUUGGUGAGGUAAAGGCUCACCAAGCCGACGAUCUCUAGCUGGUCUGAGAGGAUGACCAGCCACACUGGGACUGAGGCACGGCCCAG
This 222-nucleotide ribosomal RNA is filed under the name uncultured bacterium. RNAcentral's name for it is "partial 16S ribosomal RNA". It matches the Rfam family "Bacterial small subunit ribosomal RNA", at positions 109 to 334 of the family's 1533-position model. The record is from RNAcentral.